CCUACGGGAGGCAGCAGUGGGGAAUAUUGCGCAAUGGGCGAAAGCCUGACGCAGCGACGCCGCGUGAGGGAUGAAGGUCUUCGGAUCGUAAACCUCUGUCAGCAGGGAAGAACGGUCACUGUGCUAAUCAUCAGUGAAUUGACGGUACCUGCAAAGGAAGCACCGGCUAACUCCGUGCCAGCAGCCGCGGUAAUACGGAGGGUGCGAGCGUUAAUCGGAAUUACUGGGCGUAAAGCGCUCGUAGGCGGUAUGUCAAGUCAAGGGUGAAAUCCCCGCGCUCAACGUGGGAACUGCCUUUGAAACUGGCAGACUGGAGUGUGUGAGAGGAUAGUGGAAUUCGAGGUGUAGGAGUGAAAUCCGUAGAUAUCUGGAGGAACAUCAGUGGCGAAGGCGACUAUCUGGCACAUAACUGACGCUGAGGAGCGAAAGCGUGGGUAGCAAACAGGAUUAGAUACCCUGGUAGUC
This 465-nucleotide ribosomal RNA is filed under the name uncultured bacterium. Its description in RNAcentral is "partial 16S ribosomal RNA". It matches the Rfam family "Bacterial small subunit ribosomal RNA", at positions 338 to 795 of the family's 1533-position model. The record is from RNAcentral.